AACGAACGCUGGCGGCAUGCCUAACACAUGCAAGUCGAACGAGACCUUCGGGUCUAGUGGCGCACGGGUGCGUAACGCGUGGGAACCUGCCCUUAGGUUCGGAAUAACUCCCCGAAAGGGGUGCUAAUACCGGAUAAUGUCUUCGGACCAAAGAUUUAUCGCCUUUGGAGGGGCCCGCGUUGGUUUAGCUAGUUGGUAGGGGAAAAGCCUACCAAGGCGACGAUCCUUAGCUGGUCUGAGAGGAUGAGCAGCCACACUGGGGCUGAGACCCGGCCCGGACUCCUGCGGGAGGCAGCAGUGGGGAAUAUUGGACAAUGGGCGAAAGCCUGAUCCAGCAAUGCCGCGUGAGUGAUGAAGGCCUUAGGGUUGUAAAGCUCUUUUACCCGGGAUGGUAAUGACAGUACCGGAAGAAUAAGCACCGGCUAACUCCGUG
This 433-nucleotide ribosomal RNA is filed under the name uncultured bacterium. RNAcentral's name for it is "partial 16S ribosomal RNA". It matches the Rfam family "Bacterial small subunit ribosomal RNA", at positions 29 to 507 of the family's 1533-position model. The record is from RNAcentral.